CAGAGGCAGUAUUAGAGCAGCGAGUGAUUCCUAAAAACAACAUGCAAGUAAUUCAAGUUUUGGUUAAAUGGUUCAACUGUCCACCUGAAGAUAGCACUUGGCUGGACAUACAUGCUCUACAGCAGCAGUUUCCACACUUUUGUCCUUGAGGACAAGGACUUUUAAGAGGGGGAGUACUUGUUAUAUACCAAUAUAGAGUUUAAAAGUGCAAUAGCUUUACUUGUAAAAGUAGGGACCUAAGUGUUAAUAUAGAAUAAGUUAUUGCCAUACCUCCUUUUUCACUUAUACCCCGCAAGGGCGUGAAGGAGUUUUUCCACUUAAAGGACAAUCGAAUGAGAUUUCGUUAUUAAUUAUUUCAGAGUCGCCACUUGGGAGAUUAAUGGUGUCCCAAGUCACCGAUUGAAUCCCAAACCGAGGAAAAAGAUGACUCUGUUCACGGUCUGCGAACCAGAAAUCCAGAUAAGGAAUUCUGUUAACCCGGGAGAAGGUGUUAGGCAUUCCCGGGUUCCGUCCGCGAACUAGAAAUCCGGAUAAGGAAUUCUGUUAACCCGGGAAAAGGUGUUAGGCAUUCCCGGAUUCCGUGGUCUAGCACAGUCACUCAACUGUUGCAUUUGAUUUUAUCUGAUUUUGAUACAUGCUAGCUUAUGUACUUUUUAUUUACAAAACCGUUUUUACCAUUAUUCAUUUUAAAGGACUUGCGACGUAGUGAAAACACGUCUUUGACCACAUCGCUAUCAAGGCACCCGUAGUCAUCAACGCAUUUCGACUUUAUCGAGAUUUGGAUUUGGGUCGCAUCAAUACACACCCGAGUUUAAGAAGGUAAUUUAAUUAAAUCGAGCUUAAAGGUUGUAACGUAAUAUUAUUUUGGGGAAGGCCAUUGAAAUUCGCUAAAUGGCCAUUCCAAAUUCUAAUUAAUUUUUAAUAACCAAUUACUGAGGGCCCCACAUUUAUUUUUGUUUGUCACGGCGCACCUCAAUAAUACUCUACUUAAAACAUUUCUAAGCUAACUCACGAGGGCCAUAAAUUGUUAUUGGUUUUGAAUGGCGCAUCUCAAUUAAUCAAAAGCCCAAACCAUUAUGUGGCUUUAUUUGCAACCCACACGAAAUGGGCCUGCUUUAUGCCAAGGCCCAAAGGAUAAAAUUAAGUCGAAAACAAAGGCUUCAUAGCGCCCCAAGCUGGACAGGCAAUUAUGCACGAACUGGAUUUCUACAAAACGAAUUACAUUUUUAAUUUGAUCCUAAAACAUGAAAUGCUCACACCCGAAGGAUACCAGAACAAACGUCUGAUUUUCAGAAAAGGUGGAGAGAAAAUCAACACUGAAGCUGUGUAACAUGCAGAAACUACAUCCCAAUUUCGUGUGAACUAGAGUACAAAUGCAUGAAGUGAAAUAUGAAAUACAAUCACAAACAUGACACACUGGAAUAACGCUCAAAUGAAUCCAAAAUCAGUGACAACAGAUGAAUCCAAUUUAUCCAAGUAGGUCAAAAUAUAUAGAUGACCCUCACAUCCAUUUUCGAGUUCAAAUCUCAUUCUCAAUCUUAGCAUCCUUGGCAAGUAGCUCAUACAACGCCUUAACAAACAAACUCUCAGCAAAAGCAAUACCAAAACUCAUGAAAAAUAACAGAUGAACAACAUCUAUUCAACUGAAGCGGGCAGUUUUGCCUAUCUGAGGAUUUAAAAGAAGCUAGACACGAGAACAUGAGCUUAUCAUUGUAAAAUGAUGCCUUCAGCAUAUGAACUGGAAGACGCACUCUUCAUUUGUUAAAAAACAGUUGUAACUAAACUAAAGCAGGGGAAAAGGAGACUAUUCAGUGAUUAUGUCGAACUUGUCGAAACAAAACAGUAGGUGCAUUCAUAGUCGUGCAAAUAUGUUGUCUGGACAGUGCAAACAGGGCAGCUGACUCGAUUCAUCAAAGUUCAGAAUGAUUACUUAGAUUCGAGUCCCUAACAGCCGCUAUCAAUUAGUCUACACUCGAUGACAAUCCCAAAAUUUGGUGCAGAGGUAAACUCAUACUUUCAACCAGUAGAACAUGCAGAUAAGGUUACAAAAUUAAAGGAAAGAGAAAACUAAACAACUCUUUGAAUUCUAAUUUUAAUAGAACAAAAUCUGAUGACCAAAGAGAGUUCACAGAACAAAUCAUUUAGUGUUCAGAAAGCACGCAUAAUGAGAAGUAACUUCAUAGCUUCAUGCUCGCUUUUGAUUUUCAAAACUGAACUCACCAUUCAUUUGCAAGCGACGAAAUCUUGACACAAAAAUGAUAAUUCGACCCUAAAAUAACAGUUAAACCAUGAAAGCACAGAAAAGGACCACUCAAAAUCAACUUCUACUAGCUGAGAAUACUCAAAUACAUCACACCAUCGCGAACAGAUUUAAUCAGCAAGAAGUUCGAUCAAAACACAAACAAACCACCCUAGAUUUAAUCUCAUAGCUCAAAAUACAACGAAACAAAACAAAAUCAAGUUGUAACAAUCCAUAAACCACCCUAGAUUGAAUCUCAUAGCUCAAAAUACAAUGAAACAAAAUAGAAUCGCAAGAACAGAGAGAUGAAGACUGAAACUGAAAUUUCGAACUUCUUUUGAUAACAAAAUCGAAGGCGAUUACACAGUUUUGACUCAAACUUUCAGCAAUAAAAUAACAGCAGGUCAAGGCUCGGAGCACAACCAAACCAGUAGCAAAGACGAGCAACAAUCAGAAGUUUAGACAGCGACGAACUCAGCAGCUUUCAAUCGAACUCCAUUUUGAGAACCAAAAUCAUAACAAAUAUUGAAAUAUUUAGGUAAUUUUCUAAUUUCUUCUGAAACGAAACUCGAAUAAAAAUCGAACCCAAACUAUUUUUUUGUAUUUUUCAUUUUCUGAAAAUGCAGUAACAGAUUGAAGAGAAGGAAAGCAAAGAACCCUAGAACCCUUUUUACCUCUCCCAAAUUUUCAGCCCCCCUCACGAAAUUUGAUAAAUCUAUUUUGAAGACCAAUCCUUGAUGAAUGUGGGGCUCAGAUUGAGUGAAAUCAAUCCAACGCCUCACACUCAUCCAGCAUUCGUCUUCCAGACCCUUCCAAUCACGUGUUUAAACUCGAAUUACAGAAAUCUCAAUCCAACGCCUCACACUCAUCCAGCAUUCCUUUUUAAGACCCUUCCAAUCACGUGUUUAAACUCGAAUUCGAGCGAGUGGGAGGAGGAGGAAUCUUGUUAUCAGAAACCGUUAGCAACAGCAAAAGAAUGCGGGUUAGGGCUUGAUUCUCACUCGCGUGAAUUUUGGCGAUUUUUGGGACGAAAUUUGGGGCUGGGCUCGCGUGCUCUUCAGAGAAGAAGAACAGUACGCGUUUGAUUAGGGAUUUGGCUCAUCCGUUAUUUUUGUGUUUAAUCGUGGGGUGGGUCGGGUCACUAAGCAUGUUGGGCGGGUGGAUUAGGGGUUUUUGGGCCUGGAGUUGGGAGAAUC
This 3435-nucleotide long non-coding RNA is filed under the name Nicotiana benthamiana. RNAcentral's name for it is "long non-coding RNA (NBEN_LNC030883)". Lineage: Eukaryota; Viridiplantae; Streptophyta; Magnoliopsida; Solanales; Solanaceae. The record is from RNAcentral.